Ipomoea nil (Japanese morning glory) is the source of this 118-nucleotide ribosomal RNA. The record is from Rfam. Lineage: Eukaryota; Viridiplantae; Streptophyta; Magnoliopsida; Solanales; Convolvulaceae.
GGAUGCGAUCAUACCAGCACUAAUGCACCGGAUCCCAUCAGAACUCCGAAGUUAAGCGUGCUUGGGCGAGAGUAGUACUAGGAUGGGUGACCCCCUGGAAGUCCUCGUGUUGCAUCCC